This 418-nucleotide ribosomal RNA is filed under the name Agrobacterium tumefaciens. Its description in RNAcentral is "bacterial SSU rRNA". It matches the Rfam family "Bacterial small subunit ribosomal RNA", at positions 8 to 456 of the family's 1533-position model. Lineage: Bacteria; Pseudomonadati; Pseudomonadota; Alphaproteobacteria; Hyphomicrobiales; Rhizobiaceae. The record is from RNAcentral.
AGAGUUUGAUCCUGGCUCAGAACGAACGCUGGCGGCAGGCUUAACACAUGCAAGUCGAACGCCCCGCAAGGGGAGUGGCAGACGGGUGAGUAACGCGUGGGAAUCUACCGUGCCCUGCGGAAUAGCUCCGGGAAACUGGAAUUAAUACCGCAUACGCCCUACGGGGGAAAGAUUUAUCGGGGUAUGAUGAGCCCGCGUUGGAUUAGCUAGUUGGUGGGGUAAUGGCCUACCAAGGCGACGAUCCAUAGCUGGUCUGAGAGGAUGAUCAGCCACAUUGGGACUGAGACACGGCCCAAACUCCUACGGGAGGCAGCAGUGGGGAAUAUUGGACAAUGGGCGCAAGCCUGAUCCAGCCAUGCCGCGUGAGUGAUGAAGGCCCUAGGGUUGUAAAGCUCUUUCACCGGUGAAGAUAAUGACG